UGCCCGCAUUUGUGCUCCCCCACCUACCCACAUUUCUGCUCCCCCCACCUGUCUGUAUUUGUGCUUCCCCGACUCAAAGUUGGCCAACAUCUUCUCGGGGUCCUCGGCCUCGUCGGUGUCGGGUUUUUGGUUGGUGACAGGCAUGUGCUCCAGGAUCUUCUGCACGUCGGGCUCGAAGCCCAUAUCGAUCAUGCGAUCCGCCUCGUCCAGCACCACGUAGGUGCAGCGGCUCAGCACCAGGUAGCGAUUCUCCAGCACGUCGAUGAGACGCCCGGGAGUGGCGAUGACGAUCUGGGGGAGGGAGAAACGGCAUCGGUGGUGAACCGGGCCAUACUGGGAGCCGUGGGUGCCCCAGUAACACAGCACAGGGCCUCGCGGGGCCGCAGCCUCACCUCGCAGCCCAUCCGCAGGCGGAAGCCUUGGUCCUCACGGGAGAUUCCUCCGAUCACAGCCACCGUGCGGAUGCCCAGAGGCUUCCCAAACUUGAUGGUUUCCUCCUCGAUCUGCUGGGCCAGCUCUCGGGUGGGAGCCAGGAUGAUGGCGUAGGGCCCCUGGUCCGACUCCUCGAUGCUGUCGAUUUUGGGCAGGGUGGUGAUCCACACCAGCAGCGGGAUGAGGAAUGCUGCUGUUUUACCGCUGCCGGUCUCAGCCACGCCGAUGAUGUCACGGUUCUGCAGGCCGAUGGGGAUGGCCUGCCGCUGGAUGGGAGUGGGUUCCUGGGGAGGAGAGCGGCGGGUUUUGCCAGCAGAACAACCCCACAUCCCCCCCAAAAACAACCCAGGAGCGCUGAUCCCAAGAAGCAGCCCUCUUCCUCCCACCAAGCUCACAUCAAGACCACACAGAGUCCCCCAAAAACAGCCCCUGAGCUCACCUUGUAGCCGCACUUAUCGAUGACCUCCAGGAUGUGGGGCGGCAGGGACGAAUCCUUCCAGGAGCGGAUGGGGUUGGGGAUUUUGCCCCCUUUGGUGGUGAUGCUGUAAUCCUCCCGGAAAAUGCGCCAGUCUCUGUCUGUCAUUUCAUCCAGCUUCUUCUGCGACCAGUGCCGGUCGUCCCAGCGCUGCUUGGCCUCCUUCUUCCGCAGCUUCCGCAGCCGGGCCCUGGGAGGGGGCAAAAAGGACACAGGACUCACCCCACGCCUCUGAGGACAGCAGAUUUGUCUCUCCAGCUACAGGAUGGCAGCCCCGUGCCCCCCCACAAGCACACUCACUCCUCCUGCUCCUUCUCCUCUAACGUCCUCCUCUUUUCCAUCAGGUCCCCAUAGAAGCGUGACUGCUCCCGUUUCUGCUGCUUCAGGUCGAUCCCUGCGAUGAAGCCCCGUCCCAACAGCUGCACCUGGUGCCUCUCUUUGUACCUGGAGCAGGGCAGGAGCGUCAGGGGCAGCCGUGGGGCUGCCCAGCCCCCUCAGGAGCACCCCCAGGCACCCACAGCGGGUUGUAGUCGAUGGAGGUGUCCUCUGAUGCGUCCCACUCGAAGACAAACUUGCGGUCGUUCAGGUGCCGCGUGCGCCUCCGCUUCUUCACCCCUCCCAGGUAACGCUCCUGCAGGCAGCACAGCAUCAGCAGGGAAGGAACCCAGGGGUCCCGGCCAUCCCAGCCCCCCCGCCCGGCUGCCAGCAGUACCUUGAUGGCGUGGAGCUCUUUGCUCUUAUCUUUCUCCUCUCGGAUCUUCUGCCUGCCCUCCUCGUCCUCGGUGCCGUUGGUUUCCCUCUCCAUGCGCUCCCGGCGCUCCCUGCGCUCACGCUCCUGGGGGUCUUCUGGGAACAGGGGGAGAACCUCAGAGCUCAGCACUCCCCAGCACAGCCGGGGGGUCUUAGGGGCCAGGCGGGCAGCACGGCAGGGAUGACAGCGCACCUAGCAUCUUCCUCCCCAUCUCCUGGAACUGCUUCCUCUUCUUCCUCUCCUCCUCCAGCAGCCGCUGCCGCUCCUCCACCUCCUGCUGCCGCCGCCGCAGCGCCUCGGCCUCCCGCUCAGCCUUGGAGAGGAACUUGGGCUGCCAGAGGAGAGAAAGGCUCACAGCACGACUGGCCACGGCCACUUAUUGCUGGGACCACCCCGGGAUAGGACCCCCCCCGACGCCCAUCUGGGCACCGCUGUCACAAGCUGGGACUGCGCAGGAAGGGAGAACUCCCACCCCCCUUCCCACCUUCGCUUCUGCCUCCUCCUCGGCCUUCUUCUUCGCCAGCAGCUCCUCCAAGGACAGGGGCUGUGCCUGCAGACACAGGGCUGUGCUGUGACGCUUCUCCUCGCCCCGAGAGCCGCUCUCAAACCAAACCCCACUCCUCACCUUCUCCUUUUUCAGCGCAUUCUCCUCUUCCUCCUCUGCCUUCCGUGAGUCCCUCUCCUUGCGGGACUUGGAGUCCUUACCCCUGCUUGGGGACAAGCUUCCCCAACAAAACAAAAGGCAAUCAGGGACCGAACAGAGCCCCAAAUCCAAAGCCCGAAGCCCUAAAGCCCCCAAACCCAGAGCCCCGACCCCCUCCCCCACUCUCCACUGGUUGAAGCCCCCUCUGCCGGAACCCAGAUGCGCCCCAUUGGGCCGCACAGCAGCCAACCCGACUGGAAAUCCUCUCACCUGGAUCGCUUCCUGUCCUUGUCCCUCCGGUGCCCAUCCUUUUCCUUCUCCUUCUCCCUCUCCCGGUCCUUCUUCCCCCGGUCCCGCUCGCGCUCUUUGUGCCGCCGCUCCCUGAGAAACGGAAAAAUCGCCCCAAAUGGGAACAGCCGUCCUACAAAGACGUUCCUUCCCCCUUCCCACCCCCGGUAACCCAACGGCGCUCACCUGUCCAAGGACUUGGAACGGGACCGGGAGCGGGACCGGCUGCCCCUCCUCCUGUCCCGGGAGCGGUGCCGCUUCCUGUCCUUGCUU
Molecule: long non-coding RNA, 2862 nt
Filed under: Meleagris gallopavo (turkey)
Lineage: Eukaryota; Metazoa; Chordata; Aves; Galliformes; Phasianidae
Description: lncRNA (ENSMGAG00000021945.1)
Source: RNAcentral